AUACGGCCAUAUCACGUUGAAACACUAUUUCCCAUACGAUCACCGAAGUUAAGCAACGUCAGGUCUGGUCAAAACCUAGAUGUGUGAUCGCUUUGGAAUACCUAGUACUGUAAG
Non-coding RNA from Acanthosepion pharaonis, 114 nucleotides. The record is from the annotation of a GenBank genome assembly. Lineage: Eukaryota; Metazoa; Mollusca; Cephalopoda; Sepiida; Sepiidae.